This 209-nucleotide ribosomal RNA is filed under the name Clostridioides difficile. RNAcentral describes it as "partial 23S ribosomal RNA". It matches the Rfam family "Bacterial large subunit ribosomal RNA", at positions 1192 to 1409 of the family's 2925-position model. The record is from RNAcentral. Lineage: Bacteria; Bacillati; Bacillota; Clostridia; Peptostreptococcales; Peptostreptococcaceae.
UACCGAAGCUACGGCAUCAUUAUGAUGGGUAGGGGAGCUUCCCAUACGGGUUGAAGCAUGACCGUAAGGACAUGUGGACAGGAUGGGAGUGAGAAUGUUGGCAUGAGUAGCGAGAUGUGGGUGAGAAUCCCACAGGCCGUAAACCCAAGGUUUCCAGGGGAAGGUUCGUCCGCCCUGGGUUAGUCGGGACCUAAGCUGAGGCCGAAAGG